RNAcentral lists this ribosomal RNA (362 nucleotides) under uncultured eukaryote. RNAcentral's name for it is "bacterial SSU rRNA". It matches the Rfam family "Eukaryotic small subunit ribosomal RNA", at positions 57 to 374 of the family's 1831-position model. The record is from RNAcentral.
GGAAGGAAUCAGGGACUAGCUGAGCCGUAUUAUGGUGAAGCCGCGAAUGGCUCAUUACAACAGCCGUUGUUUCUUGGAUCUUUAUUUACUUGGAUAACUGUGGUAAUUCUAGAGCUAACACAUGCAACCAAGCUCCGACCUUGCGGAAGGAGCGCAUUUAUUAGACCAAGACCAAUCGGGCUCUGCCUGAAUUUUGGUGACUCUGAAUAACUUUGCUGAUCACACGGUCUAGCACUGGUGACAUAUCUUUCAAGUGUCUGCCCUAUCAACUUUCGAUGGUAGUUUAUGUGCCUACCAUGGUUGCAACGGGUAACGGGGAAUGGGGCGGGGGCGGCGGGCCGGGCGCGGGGCGCGGCGGGCGA